UCUAAUUAUCUCCCACUAUUUUAUUAGAUACCAUAGCCCUCACCUAUGGCAAGCGAGAAAUUUAUUUGUUUCUUAAUGAGGUUAAGAUCCUAAUUCUUCAUAAAAGUCUUGUGGUUGCACAACAAAUUUUUAAUGAGUUCAUAAGUAGAAAACUCUUUCCAAUUGCUAGGGCUGGAAGUGGGCUCGGGCCUCGGGGCUGGAAGUGGGCUCGGACCGGCCCGAGGCCCAUCAGGCCGGGUCGGCUUUAAGUUGGACUUCGGGUCCGAUCCGAAAUCAUUCAGGUCGGACUAGGACCUGAUUUUAGGGCCCAUUUUAUUUUCGGGCUGGGCUCGAGCAGACCAUUGGCCCGGUCUGAAUGGCAAUCCGAUUAAAAUCCUUCUUCGGUUCUUCCAUCCC
This 396-nucleotide long non-coding RNA is filed under the name Elaeis guineensis (African oil palm). RNAcentral describes it as "long non-coding RNA (EGUI_LNC018861)". The record is from RNAcentral. Lineage: Eukaryota; Viridiplantae; Streptophyta; Magnoliopsida; Arecales; Arecaceae.